UAACCGGAGUAGUGCAUUGGAAACUGUGUUUCUUGAGUGCAGAAGAGGAGAGUGGAACUCCAUGUGUAGCGGUGGAAUGCGUAGAUAUAUGGAAGAACACCAGUGGCGAAGGCGGCUCUCUGGUCUGUAACUGACGCUGAGGCUCGAAAGCAUGGGUAGCGAACAG
Molecule: ribosomal RNA, 166 nt
Filed under: uncultured bacterium
Lineage: Bacteria
Description: partial 16S ribosomal RNA
Rfam family: Bacterial small subunit ribosomal RNA
Source: RNAcentral